RNAcentral lists this long non-coding RNA (781 nucleotides) under Bos indicus x Bos taurus (hybrid cattle). RNAcentral's name for it is "lncRNA (ENSBIXG00005006230.1)". Lineage: Eukaryota; Metazoa; Chordata; Mammalia; Artiodactyla; Bovidae. The record is from RNAcentral.
UUUUCUGAAACAGUGCUCAUCCUAACCAACCCAAAGUAUCUCCAGCAUAAAUCGACACCAUCCGUGAGACAAGCAGCACAUCUCAAUUGAUCCAUUCUCACCAAAGAAGGAGCUUUUAUUCCUGAAUCUUGGUUGUGACUUGUUGGAUAAAGGACGAUGUGUGUUUGGAAAUAAUUUUCCAUCAGCUCCAAGCUGAAGUGACCUUCAGUGUCUUACUUUGGAGGAAGUCAAGUACUAUGAUGAAAAUAACAAAUGGAAAUAGAGUAUAAUUUAUCACUAAAUAGGCCGACAUGUGGAAAGAUCCCUCCAGGCUCUUACAAAAGCAGGUGGCCUGGAUUCAGAGUGCAGAGGACGGCAGCAGAGGGCCCGAGGAGCCAGGACCUUGCCUGUCCUUGAAGGAAGCUCAGGAAGCUGGGCCACCCAGCAGUUCUCCUCUGUUCGUCAUACACCUGCCACAGAGGCUGCUCCCAACCUGGGGUGAGCAUCUCGGACCCUGAGGGUCAAGGUGUACAGGAUGGAGGACUAAGGGACCCAAGCUUGAGAAGGAUUUGUUUGAAGCACCUCUAUGAUCUGUGGCUUCUGGUUCUUCUGUCUGCAAGGGUUUGUUCAGUCAUGGAACAGUUUCUUCUCUUGGAUGAGCUCAAGAAGGAGUGUUUGGCAUAAUCCUGGUGCGAGGUGUGUGCCCUUGUUCUCUGAAUUUUUGUUGGGAACUAAGUGUGUCAGUGCGGUCCGGAACAUUCAUGAAAGUUUGAAUACAUGGCAUGUCAAUUGGGGAUUAUAA